AUCUUCCACAUGGGCGCAGCCUGAUGGAGCAACGCCGCGUGUGUGAUGAAGGGUUUCGGCUCGUAAGACACUGUGUAUAAGAGAAGAACGUCAAUGAGAGUAACUGUUCAUUGAGUGACGGUAUCUUAUCAGAAAGGGACGGCUAAAUACGUGCCAGCAGCCGCGGUAAUA
This 171-nucleotide ribosomal RNA is filed under the name uncultured Weissella sp. Its description in RNAcentral is "partial 16S ribosomal RNA". It matches the Rfam family "Bacterial small subunit ribosomal RNA", at positions 361 to 525 of the family's 1533-position model. Lineage: Bacteria; Bacillati; Bacillota; Bacilli; Lactobacillales; Lactobacillaceae. The record is from RNAcentral.